AGAGUUUGAUCCUGGCUCAGGAUGAACGCUGGCGGUAUGCUUAACACAUGCAAGUCGAACGGGGGGCUUAGGCCCCUAGUGGCGGACGGGUGAGUAACGCGUGAGAAUCUGCCUUCAGGUCGGGGACAACAGCUGGAAACGGCUGCUAAUACCGGAUGUGCCGAGAGGUGAAAGCUAUAGCGCCUGAAGAUGAACUCGCGUCUGAUUAGCUAGUUGGUGGGGUAAGAGCCUACCAAGGCGACGAUCAGUAGCUGGUCUGAGAGGAUGAUCAGCCACACUGGGACUGAGACACGGCCCAGACUCCUACGGGAGGCAGCAGUGGGGAAUUUUCCGCAAUGGGCGAAAGCCUGACGGAGCAAUACCGCGUGAGGGAGGAAGGCUCUUGGGUUGUAAACCUCUUUUGAUCAGGAAGAAGGUCUGACGGUACUGAUCGAAUCAGCAUCGGCUAACUCCGUGCCAUCAGCCGCGGUAAUACGGAGGAUGCAAGCGUUAUCC
Molecule: ribosomal RNA, 495 nt
Filed under: uncultured bacterium
Lineage: Bacteria
Description: bacterial SSU rRNA
Rfam family: Bacterial small subunit ribosomal RNA
Source: RNAcentral